RNAcentral lists this ribosomal RNA (246 nucleotides) under uncultured bacterium. RNAcentral describes it as "partial 16S ribosomal RNA". It matches the Rfam family "Bacterial small subunit ribosomal RNA", at positions 109 to 353 of the family's 1533-position model. The record is from RNAcentral.
AGUAACGCGUGGGUAACCUGCCUCAUACAGGGGGAUAACAGUUAGAAAUGACUGCUAAUACCGCAUAAGCGCACAGUGCUGCAUGGCACAGUGUGAAAAACUCCGGUGGUAUGAGAUGGACCCGCGUCUGAUUAGCUAGUUGGUGGGGUAACGGCCCACCAAGCCGACGAUCAGUAGCCGACCUGAGAGGGUGACCGGCCACAUUGGGACUGAGACACGGCCCAAACUCCUACGGGAGGCAGCAUG